UUAGUGGCGGACGGGUGAGUAACGCGUGGGUAACCUGCCGUAUACAGGGGGAUAACACGUUAGAAAUAGGUGCUAAAACCGCAUAAGCGCACAGCGCCGCAUGGCGCAGUGUGAAAAACUCCGGUGGUAUACGAUGGACCCGCGUCUGAUUAGCCAGUUGGCAGGGUAACGGCCUACCAAAGCGACGAUCAGUAGCCGGCCUGAGAGGGUGGACGGCCACAUUGGGACUGAGACACGGCCCAAACUCCUACGGGAGGCAGCAG
This 263-nucleotide ribosomal RNA is filed under the name uncultured bacterium. Its description in RNAcentral is "partial 16S ribosomal RNA". It matches the Rfam family "Bacterial small subunit ribosomal RNA", at positions 92 to 354 of the family's 1533-position model. The record is from RNAcentral.